AUUGAACGCUGGCGGCAUGCCUUACACAUGCAAGUCGAACGGUAACAGGUCUUCGGAUGCUGACGAGUGGCGAACGGGUGAGUAAUACAUCGGAACGUGCCUAGUAGUGGGGGAUAACUAAUCGAAAGAGUGGCUAAUACCGCAUGAAAUCUACGGAUGAAAGCAGGGGAUAGAAAGACCUUGUGCCACUAGAGCGGCCGAUGGCAGAUUAGGUAGUUGGUGGGAUAAAGCUUACCAAGCCGACGAUCUGUAGCUGGUCUGAGAGGACGAUCAGCCACACUGGGACUGAGACACGGCCCAGACUCCUACGGGAGGCAGCAGUGGGGAAUUUUGGACAAUGGGCGCAAGCCUGAUCCAGCAAUGCCGCGUGCAGGAUGAAGGCCUUCGGGUUGUAAACUGCUUUUGUACGGAACGAAAAGCCCCGGGUUAAUACCCUGGGGUCAUGACGGUACCGUAAGAAUAAGCACCGGCUAACUACGUGCCAGCCGCCGCCGUAA
Molecule: ribosomal RNA, 497 nt
Filed under: uncultured bacterium
Lineage: Bacteria
Description: partial 16S ribosomal RNA
Rfam family: Bacterial small subunit ribosomal RNA
Source: RNAcentral